This 1371-nucleotide ribosomal RNA is filed under the name uncultured bacterium. RNAcentral describes it as "bacterial SSU rRNA". It matches the Rfam family "Bacterial small subunit ribosomal RNA", at positions 28 to 1381 of the family's 1533-position model. The record is from RNAcentral.
GAUGAACGCUGGCGGCGUGCCUAAUACAUGCAAGUCGAGCGAACAGAUAAGGAGCUUGCUCCUUUGACGUUAGCGGCGGACGGGUGAGUAACACGUGGAUAACCUACCUAUAAGACUGGGAUAACUUCGGGAAACCGGAGCUAAUACCGGUUAACAUAUUGAACCGCAUGGUUCAAUAGUGAAAGGCGGCUUUGCUGUCACUUAUAGAUGGAUCCGCGCCGUAUUAGCUAGUUGGUAAGGUAACGGCUUACCAAGGCAACGAUACGUAGCCGACCUGAGAGGGUGAUCGGCCACACUGGAACUGAGACACGGCCCAGACUCCUACGGGAGGCAGCAGUAGGGAAUCUUCCGCAAUGGGCGAAAGCCUGACGGAGCAACGCCGCGUGAGUGAUGAAGGUCUUCGGAUCGUAAAACUCUGUUAUCAGGGAAGAACAAAUGUGUAAGUAACUGUGCACAUCUUGACGGUACCUGAUCAGAAAGCCACGGCUAACUACGUGCCAGCAGCCGCGGUAAUACGUAGGUGGCAAGCGUUAUCCGGAAUUAUUGGGCGUAAAGCGCGCGUAGGCGGUUUUUUAGUCUGAUGUGAAAGCCCACGGCUCAACCGUGGAGGGUCAUUGGAAACUGGAAAACUUGAGUGCAGAAGAGGAAAGUGGAAUUCCAUGUGUAGCGGUGAAAUGCGCAGAGAUAUGGAGGAACACCAGUGGCGAAGGCGACUUUCUGGUCUGUAACUGACGCUGAUGUGCGAAAGCGUGGGGAUCAAACAGGAUUAGAUACCCUGGUAGUCCACGCCGUAAACGAUGAGUGCUAAGUGUUAGGGGGUUUCCGCCUCUUAGUGUUGCAGCUAACGCAUUAAGCACUCCGCCUGGGGAGUACGACCGCAAGGUUGAAACUCAAAGGAAUUGACGGGGACCCGCACAAGCGGUGGAGCAUGUGGUUUAAUUCGAAGCAACGCGAAGAACCUUACCAAAUCUUGACAUCCUUUGACCGCUCUAGAGAUAGAGUUUUCCCCUUCGGGGGACAAAGUGACAGGUGGUGCAUGGUUGUCGUCAGCUCGUGUCGUGAGAUGUUGGGUUAAGUCCCGCAACGAGCGCAACCCUUAAGCUUAGUUGCCAUCAUUAAGUUGGGCACUCUAAGUUGACUGCCGGUGACAAACCGGAGGAAGGUGGGGAUGACGUCAAAUCAUCAUGCCCCUUAUGAUUUGGGCUACACACGUGCUACAAUGGACAAUACAAAGGGCAGCUAAACCGCGAGGUCAAGCAAAUCCCAUAAAGUUGUUCUCAGUUCGGAUUGUAGUCUGCAACUCGACUACAUGAAGCUGGAAUCGCUAGUAAUCGUAGAUCAGCAUGCUACGGUGAAUACGUUCCCGGGUCU